AGCAACACUAAGCACUAAACUGCCUAUCAUAUCUCUUUGUAAUGGGGCUCCUCAUUCUUCCUCAUUGACCUGUGACACCUUGCCCUUACUACCACUGCCUCCUCCUGGUCUACUAUGUUUGACACUGCACAUUCACAAGAACAGAGCAAGAAAGAAGAAUGUCGACAACAAUCAAUUGAUGUAUACUAGUAAGUUUCCAUUGCUACUCUUAACGUUACUGAGAUUUGUCUAGCUAGCUAGCGAGCUACAUUGCUAGCUAGAAACAAAUAAUAGAUUACAGUGGCUGGACAAAUAGUUAACGUUAAUUAGUUAGCUAGCUAUGGGUGACAAAUAUAGAGGCCUUGCAGUUGACGUAUGACGCCUCCUGGUGGCCAUGUUGCAUUAAUUCUUCCGACAAAUACAGCCGUGUGGAUACCCCAAACUACAUGAUAACAGCAAAGAUGUUUUAAUUCUAUCUGUGGUAACAGUGCCUAAAACGAGUUGACUCAUCACCACGGUCAUUUUCCGUGGAGUAUUUGCCUGCUCUAACAAGGCAGGGAAGACAACGGGAAAAAAUAUGUUUACAGAUUCCCCGCAAUCAUGAAACACCAUAGAUGAUAUGGGAAGACUCAAGAACUGUCAGAAAAGAAGAAGAAACAAGUUUGCCAGUCAAGACCUGAACCCAGACAGCUGUCAGUACAGGGUCUGCUACGAUCAUUUAAUCACUGGUUCACCAGCUGACCUAUCAUGACAACCAUGUCGACUGGAAUCCCACUGUGAAAAUGAGCAAUGCUGCAGAAGCAUCAGCUUCUACUACUACUACUUCGUCCUUUUCCAGAAAUGAAAGGAGUCAUCCCUCAAUUUUACAAGAUGGUUGUCAUAUGCUGUGCUUUGGACUAUCUGAAUGAUUAUGUUGUGCCAUUUGAGUAGAGCACCUUGUCGUCAUGACAAAAGUGCCCCCUUAAACCGUAUAUAUAAAAUGUAAUUUGGAACGACUAUUGUUUAUGAUAUGGUAAACAUACUGUACCUUAAUAAAUUGGCUAUAUUGUUGUAUGGGUGAAAUUAAAAGUAUUUUGUAAUCUCUGCUUUGCCUAGCCCCAUUGAAUAAAAAGUAGUUCUUAUAGCCCAA
Salmo salar (Atlantic salmon) is the source of this 1108-nucleotide non-coding RNA. NCBI's taxonomy places the organism in Eukaryota, Metazoa, Chordata, Actinopteri, Salmoniformes, Salmonidae. The record is from RefSeq and is a predicted model, not a curated record.